RNAcentral lists this ribosomal RNA (168 nucleotides) under uncultured bacterium. Its description in RNAcentral is "partial 16S ribosomal RNA". It matches the Rfam family "Bacterial small subunit ribosomal RNA", at positions 1334 to 1500 of the family's 1533-position model. The record is from RNAcentral.
GCUAGUAAUCGCAGGUCAGCAUACUGCGGUGAAUACGUUCCCGGGUCUUGUACACACCGCCCGUCACACCAUGGGAGGCCGGAAAUGCCCGAAGCCAGUGACCCAACCUUAGGGAGGGAGCUGUCGAAGGUGGAGCCGGUAACUGGGGCGAAGUCGUAACAAGGUAAC